AGGCAGCAGUGGGGAAUAUUGCACAAUGGGCGAAAGCCUGAUGCAGCGACGCCGCGUGAGGGAUGACGGCCUUCGGGUUGUAAACCUCUUUCAGCAGGGGAGAAGCGAAAGUGACGGUACCUGCAGAAGAAGCGCCGGCUAACUACGUGCCAGCAGCCGCGGUAAUACGUAGGGCGCAAGCGUUGUCCGGAAUUAUUGGGCGUAAAGAGCUCGUAGGCGGCUUGUCACGUCGGUUGUGAAAGCCCGGGGCUUAACCCCGGGUCUGCAGUCGAUACGGGCAGGCUAGAGUUCGGUAGGGGAGAUCGGAAUUCCUGGUGUAGCGGUGAAAUGCGCAGAUAUCAGGAGGAACACCGGUGGCGAAGGCGGAUCUCUGGGCCGAUACUGACGCUGAGGAGCGAAAGCGUGGGGAGCGAACAGGAUUAGAUACCCUGGUAGUCCAUGCCGUAAACGGUGGGCACUAGGUGUGGGCAACAUUCCACGUUGUCCGUGCCGCAGCUAACGCAUUAAGUGCCCCGCCUGGGGAGUACGGCCGCAAGGCUAAAACUCAAAUGAAUUGACG
Molecule: ribosomal RNA, 559 nt
Filed under: uncultured Actinomycetes bacterium
Lineage: Bacteria; Bacillati; Actinomycetota; Actinomycetes
Description: bacterial SSU rRNA
Rfam family: Bacterial small subunit ribosomal RNA
Source: RNAcentral